AUAUAUAUCAAUCUCUUCAGCUUUGCUUGUUGAGUAUUGGAUGUGGGGGUUGUUUUUUGUUGGCUUUUACGAAGUCAGCUCCCCUGAAAUGUGUUAGCAGAACAAUUUGUUUAUCUUGUUCAUUGGUGUGAUAAUUAUCUACACUAUUGACGGAAAAGCAGUUCAGCUUCUAAUUAGUCCAUUGACUUGGACAAAUUUUCAUUA
This 204-nucleotide unclassified non-coding RNA is filed under the name uncultured Cortinarius. RNAcentral describes it as "sequence contains ITS2". The record is from RNAcentral. Lineage: Eukaryota; Fungi; Basidiomycota; Agaricomycetes; Agaricales; Cortinariaceae.